UAUAGUACAUGAUUUUACAUUUACCAGUAAUUAUAAUUCAUGAAAUGUCGUUUUAUCUCCAAUACUGCUGCUUUCAACACAGUAGCUGCUUUUAACAGAAUAACUGCUUUCAACACAGCAGCUGCUUUUAACACAGUAGUUAGUCUCUACACAUAUGAGACUAGUCCGCAUAAGUACAUUAUGGUGCCAAUCUUAUCACAUUCACCUGUUUUUGUACGGGGUGUAUGUGAUACGGUUGGCGGAUGAUGUCAUCAGGCUUGGUACUCGUAUAUGGGCGGACCUGCCUGGAGACGGAUAGAGGAACAGUGUCUCGGUUCCCAAGAUCAUCGGAAAUAUGUGUUUUCAGAUAGUCUUAGGUGACCCCUGUGAAAGAAUCGUUUGACCCCCAAAGGGGUCGCAACCCACAGGUUGAGAACCGCUGAUCUAAUGGAUUAUAACUCAUCAAUAGUUCCAGAGUCUAGUUGAUCAAGGCUUCUACUAGAAAACUAAUUUCAGAACUAAUUUCAAACAACUAGUAUUUCACAGUUGUUAAUGAAAACCACAAACAUAUGUUAGAAUUGAAUGAC
RNAcentral lists this long non-coding RNA (566 nucleotides) under Androctonus crassicauda. Lineage: Eukaryota; Metazoa; Arthropoda; Arachnida; Scorpiones; Buthidae. The record is from RNAcentral.